RNAcentral lists this ribosomal RNA (645 nucleotides) under Lactobacillus sp. DumLac1. RNAcentral's name for it is "bacterial SSU rRNA". It matches the Rfam family "Bacterial small subunit ribosomal RNA", at positions 41 to 655 of the family's 1533-position model. Lineage: Bacteria; Bacillati; Bacillota; Bacilli; Lactobacillales; Lactobacillaceae. The record is from RNAcentral.
GGCGUGCCUAAUACAUGCAAGUCGAGCGAGCUGAAUUCAAAGAUCCCUUCGGGGUGAUUUGUUGGACGCUAGCGGCGGAUGGGUGAGUAACACGUGGGCAAUCUGCCCUAAAGACUGGGAUACCACUUGGAAACAGGUGCUAAUACCGGAUAACAACAUGAAUCGCAUGAUUCAAGUUUGAAAGGCGGCGCAAGCUGUCACUUUAGGAUGAGCCCGCGGCGCAUUAGCUAGUUGGUGGGGUAAAGGCCUACCAAGGCAAUGAUGCGUAGCCGAGUUGAGAGACUGAUCGGCCACAUUGGGACUGAGACACGGCCCAAACUCCUACGGGAGGCAGCAGUAGGGAAUCUUCCACAAUGGACGCAAGUCUGAUGGAGCAACGCCGCGUGAGUGAAGAAGGUUUUCGGAUCGUAAAGCUCUGUUGUUGGUGAAGAAGGAUAGAGGCAGUAACUGGUCUUUAUUUGACGGUAAUCAACCAGAAAGUCACGGCUAACUACGUGCCAGCAGCCGCGGUAAUACGUAGGUGGCAAGCGUUGUCCGGAUUUAUUGGGCGUAAAGCGAGCGCAGGCGGAAUGAUAAGUCUGAUGUGAAAGCCCACGGCUCAACCGUGGAACUGCAUCGGAAACUGUCAUUCUUGAGUGCAGAAGA